Cyprinus carpio (common carp) is the source of this 1321-nucleotide long non-coding RNA. The record is from Ensembl. NCBI's taxonomy places the organism in Eukaryota, Metazoa, Chordata, Actinopteri, Cypriniformes, Cyprinidae.
UACGGGACUCUCACAUUCAGACAGCGGAUGCCACCACAGCACUCAAGCACCACUCAAAGCCCUAUCAGAGACUCUGCCAAACACACUCACACAUGACCUAGCACGCACACACACACAUGCUCAUUUGCAGGCAUCAGUCAGUGUCACCUGCUUUGGGAAUAGUGUGGAUGGCAAGCGAUCUUUAAUUAGUGGAGAAAAACAAAGAGAAAGAGAGGGAGAAAGUGCACUGCAGCAAACACACCUAAACACUGCGUAGCGCUGUAAGAUCAGCUCAGGUUUUAGGGUGCUCCGAACAUUACAUGCGUUCCUACUUUUGGAUAAAUUUUGUUACGCAGACACUGCAUUGUCAUAAAUCUUAAUCCAGCGAUGGCUCAAUCUCUUCUUUCAUGACAUAUUUCAGAGGGAACUAUAGAAUCAGACUUUCUGUACGAUAACCCUUGUCACUGAGCUUGUCCCUGUUCAUAAAUUCUCAGCUCAGUGUGUAGUAUAGACAGAUGGCGACGCUGCUUGGCAUCUAAUUGUGAUAUAUUGUACUCAUUACCAAAAUGCAAAGUUUAAGGUCCAAUUGUGUGACAUGCAGGGGUCCUUUAUUAAUUGCAUUACAAUUGCAUGGGAUUUUAGGUAAAAGAAAAAAAAAAGAAAAAAAUCUGGAUGUGAUAACCUUUGAAAACACAACACUACCAUUUUGGGCAAAAAGCCAUAAAGUGCAUCGGAAAUCACGUACUGUCUGAACAGGUAUUAAAUUUGCACUUAUUUCACAACUGUUAAAAAGUAUGUCGUAUAUAGUAUGAAUAAGGGAAGUAUGAAGAAAAAUACUACAUCCACCAUGUUGUUACUGUCACAUGACCUUCACUGCCAUUUAUAUAUCCCCUCCUGUGGCCUCAUGGGAUAGACUGCGCCUUUCAGAAUCCGGGCGGAAGUAGUAGGUCUUCAAGGUACUUUUUGAACACUAUGAAUUCGGACAUACUACUCUUUUGGUGUACUGUUUUUCACAUACUAUAUAGUAGGGAAGUAUUCGAUUACAGAUGCAGCAACAGAGUGUAUUUUGAACAGUAAACAACAUUUUAGUAACCACACAGCAACAUGGUACAAACCACCCAGAACACACUAGAAACACCCUUCACUCUUAAAAGUAAAAGUUUUAGUUUUAAAAGUUUUAAAAGAAGAACUUUUUUUGGUUCCCAAAAGAACCUGUCAGUGAACAGUUCUUAAAAGAACCUUUUGUGCAAUGAAUGUAAAAGGUUCUUCGCAGCACCAUAAAUGCCAAUUUAGAACCUUUAUUUUAAAGACUGUGGGAUGGUGGUGCCAAGUUUUGUUCGGG